AUGGAAUCAAGAUUUCCCAGGUUUAGCCAAGGCUUAGCUCAGGACCCCACUACUCGUCGUAUUUGGUUUGGUAUUGCUACCGCACAUGAUUUCGAAAGUCAUGAUGAUAUUACUGAAGAACGUCUUUAUCAGAACAUUUUUGCUUCUCACUUUGGGCAAUUAGCAAUAAUCUUUCUAUGGACGUCCGGAAAUCUGUUUCAUGUAGCUUGGCAAGGAAAUUUUGAAUCAUGGAUACAGGAUCCUUUACACGUAAGACCUAUUGCUCAUACGAUUUGGGAUCCUCAUUUUGGUCAACCCGCUGUGGAAGCCUUUACUCGAGGAGGUGCUGCUGGUCCAGUGAAUAUUGCUUAUUCUGGAGUUUAUCAGUGGUGGUAUACAAUAGGAUUACGCACCAAUGAGGAUCUUUAUACUGGAGCUCUUUUUCUAUUAUUUCUUUCUAUGCUGUCCUUAAUAACGGGUUGGUUACAUCUACAACCCAAAUGGAAACCAAGCCUUUCGUGGUUCAAAAACGCGGAAUCUCGUCUCAAUCAUCAUUUGUCAGGACUUUUCGGGGUAAGUUCUUUGGCUUGGACAGGACAUUUAGUUCAUGUUGCUAUUCCCGCAUCCAGGGGGGAGUACGUUCGAUGGAAUAAUUUCUUAGAUGUAUUACCCUAUCCCCAGGGGUUGGGACCCCUUUUGACGGGUCAAUGGAAUCUUUAUGCCCAAAACCCUGAUUCGAGUAAUCAUUUAUUUGGUACCGCUCAAGGAGCCGGAACUGCCAUUCUAACUCUUCUUUGCGGAUUCCAUCCACAAACACAAAGUUUGUGGCUGACCGAUAUGGCUCACCAUCAUUUAGCUAUUGCAUUUAUUUUUCUCAUUGCCGGUCACAUGUAUCGAACUAACUUCGGAAUUGGGCACAGUAUUAAAGAUUUUUUAGAAGCGCAUACUCCUCCGGGGGGUCGAUUAGGGCGUGGGCAUAAGGGCCUUUAUGACACAAUCAACAAUUCGAUUCAUUUUCAGUUAGGUCUUGCUCUAGCUUCUUUAGGGGUUAUUACUUCCUUAGUAGCUCAACAUAUGUACUCUUUACCUCCUUAUGCAUUCAUAGCACAAGACUUUACUACUCAAGCUGCUUUAUAUACUCAUCACCAAUAUAUUGCAGGGUUCAUCAUGACAGGGGCUUUUGCUCAUGGAGCUAUUUUUUUCAUUAGGGAUUACAAUCCGGAACAGAAUGAGGAUAAUGUAUUGGCAAGAAUGUUAGACCAUAAAGAAGCUAUCAUAUCUCAUUUAAGUUGGGCUAGCCUCUUUCUAGGAUUCCAUACCUUGGGCCUUUAUGUUCAUAACGACGUCAUGCUUGCUUUUGGUACUCCAGAAAAGCAUAUCUUGAUCGAACCUAUAUUUGCCCAAUGGAUACAAUCUGCUCAUGGCAAGACGACAUAUGGGUUCGAUAUACUCUUAUCUUCAACGAAUGGCCCCGCUUUCAAUGCGGGUCGAAGCCUAUGGUUGCCCGGAUGGUUGAAUGCUGUUAAUGAGAAUAGUAAUUCGCUUUUCUUAACAAUAGGACCUGGGGAUUUCUUGGUUCAUCAUGCUAUUGCUCUAGGUUUGCAUACAACUACAUUGAUUUUAGUAAAGGGCGCUUUAGAUGCACGCGGUUCCAAAUUAAUGCCGGAUAAAAAGGAUUUUGGAUAUAGUUUUCCUUGUGACGGCCCAGGGCGCGGCGGUACUUGUGAUAUUUCUGCUUGGGACGCAUUUUAUUUGGCAGUUUUCUGGAUGUUAAAUACCAUUGGGUGGGUUACUUUUUAUUGGCAUUGGAAACAUAUCACAUUAUGGCAGGGCAACGUUUCACAAUUUAAUGAAUCCUCCACUUAUUUGAUGGGAUGGUUAAGAGAUUACCUAUGGUUAAACUCUUCACAACUUAUCAAUGGAUAUAAUCCUUUUGGGAUGAAUAGUUUAUCGGUAUGGGCGUGGAUGUUCUUAUUUGGACAUCUUGUUUGGGCUACUGGAUUUAUGUUCUUAAUUUCCUGGCGGGGGUAUUGGCAGGAAUUAAUUGAGACUUUAGCAUGGGCUCAUGAACGCACACCUUUAGCUAAUUUAAUUCGCUGGAGAGAUAAGCCUGUGGCUCUUUCCAUUGUGCAAGCAAGAUUGGUUGGAUUAGCUCACUUUUCCGUGGGUUAUAUAUUCACUUAUGCAGCUUUCUUGAUUGCCUCAACAUCAGGCAAGUUUGGUUAA
RNAcentral lists this ribosomal RNA (2205 nucleotides) under Triticum aestivum (bread wheat). RNAcentral describes it as "partial small subunit ribosomal RNA". Lineage: Eukaryota; Viridiplantae; Streptophyta; Magnoliopsida; Poales; Poaceae. The record is from RNAcentral.